CCCACAAGAAAUUUCCUUGUGGGCAAAUUGUGAGGGAGAUUUUUUUUUUAUCUUUGUAGCUGUCUUAUUUAGGAAUAAAAUGGGAGGUAGGUUCGCCUGACAUAGUUUCCAGCUUGACUUUUCCCUUGGCUUAGUGAUUUUGGAAUCCGAGAUUUAUUUUCCUUUCACAUUUUUUCUGUUUCUUUUUAAAAUCUUUCAGAAAGAGCAUUUUAGAAGAAAAUGAGUCUCCAGUCUCAGGUUUUUCUGAUCACUUAUAGCUAGGAUGAUCUAUUCUAGACAGGUAGGUCUCACAUUAUUAGAAAAGCUCAUUUUUAGCAGGUUGUAAAGUAUCAUGUUCUACAAACAGAAAAUAGGGACAGAAAGAAAGAAAACAACAAACAAAUGAAAAGAUAGAGCCAUUUUUCUCUGAAGUUCAUACAUCAGUAGGCUGGCAUAUAGGUUGCUGUUAUUUUCUUCUGAAGUUUAAGUUGUGUAGCUUCAGUUCACAGGGUUUUAAGAAAGCACAGCAUAACUUUUAGUGAUUUCAAAUCACAAAAAAUGGAAAAAAAGGAAGGAAAGAAGAAAAAAAUUGAAAAUAUUAUUUUGAAUACCUGUACCCCCCCAAAAUUUUUAAAUUCAGUCCAAACUAGAAAAUAAUAAAAAUUGAAAAAUAUUAGGCAAGACUAGAAUCUAAUAACAGGUACACUAUAGUUCACUUUGAAAAAUAAUUUUUCUCUCUCCAGUCCCCAUUUUCACUAAAUACAAAUCAUAGGACAAAUUUAUGCAUAAAAUAAGUGUUAGUCUUAUUAUACUUGGCCUGUGUAUUUGCAUGAAGUCAGCAAGAAUAAUUAUGUGCUGGCUGGGCGCAGUGGCUCACACGAGGCACCACAGCUGGCCCAGAAAGUGACAUGCUUUACUUACCACACGUCAGGAAACUGUACAGGAACUGUGUGGAAAGGCAUGAGGCCAGCUUUCCCAAGGGGCUUUUAUGACUCUGUAAGUCAACUUUGAUUCCUUAAAGCAGUUGAUUUAUAUCUGAAAGUAAGCCAUUCCAAUCAAAGCCUUGGUAAAAUAACCAGUGUCUUCAAUUGUAUCCUGUUACAAAAGAAAACAGAUUCUUAUUGAACUUAUGCAAAUAACUAGACUGCUAUAAAUUAAGUAUACUUGCUAAUAGUUUUCAAAUUCUGGAGAAUUCAGGUAGAGGAAUAUGCUUCAGAUUUUGCUCAC
This 1206-nucleotide long non-coding RNA is filed under the name Homo sapiens (human). RNAcentral's name for it is "non-protein coding lnc-DNAJB5-2:2". The record is from RNAcentral. Lineage: Eukaryota; Metazoa; Chordata; Mammalia; Primates; Hominidae.